UACAGAGGGUGCAAGCGUUAAUCGAAGUUACUGGGCGUAAAGCGUGCGUAGGCGGAUAUUCAAGUCGGGUGUGAAAGCCCUGGGCUUAACCUAGGAAUUGCAUUCGAUACUGGGUAUCUAGAGUAUGAUAGAGGAAAGUGGAAUUUCCGGUGUAGCGGUGAAAUGCGUAGAUAUCGGAAAGAACACCAGCGGCGAAGGCGACUUUCUGGAUCAAUACUGACGCUGAGGUACGAAAGCGUGGGGAGCAAACAGGAUUAGAUACCCUCGUA
RNAcentral lists this ribosomal RNA (269 nucleotides) under uncultured prokaryote. RNAcentral describes it as "partial 16S ribosomal RNA". It matches the Rfam family "Bacterial small subunit ribosomal RNA", at positions 524 to 792 of the family's 1533-position model. The record is from RNAcentral.